GGGCAAGUCUUAUACGACCAGCUCCUGGCAAACCCUCCAGGGUCGGAAGGCAGCAAAGGUAGUCGGUUGUAGCGGUGCGAUGUAAGUAACUUGCCUUUU
This 99-nucleotide signal recognition particle RNA is filed under the name Sphingobacteriales bacterium. RNAcentral describes it as "signal recognition particle sRNA small type". It matches the Rfam family "Bacteroidales small SRP". Rfam says of the family: The non-coding component of the signal recognition particle in Bacteroides Lineage: Bacteria; Pseudomonadati; Bacteroidota; Sphingobacteriia; Sphingobacteriales. The record is from RNAcentral.